CUAAACGAGCCGAUUGAAAUUCUCGACAUUAUAUAAUCAAUAUUUAAUUUUUAUAGAACAUUACCUAUAAUUUGAUGUAACAUGUCCAAUAGUUCAAAAUACAAAAUAAUUGUAAGAAAUGUGAGUUAGGGUGACUGCCUGACUGGGUGAGGGUCAGAGAGAGAGAGAGAGAGAGAGAGAGAGGGGGAAAAAAAUUAGGGAUUUGAAAAUUUGAAUGUUAUCAUGUUUUAGGGUUAUGUGCAACAGUGAAAGUCUGAAAGAAAGAGUGUGUUAUGUAAAUUUAGAGUUGAGCUCAAUUGCACAGUUGUACUUGUUGGGUUUAUUUUAUGGGCCAACAAUAAUGGCCCAAAUUAAAUUAAAGCCUAUAUAUAAUUAAAAUACAUUAUAUUUAUAAAUAUUAUAUAUAUAUAUAUAGAAUUAGGCUGGAAUACUAUUAAUAGUAAAACGCUCUUUUUGCUAUCGAAUUUUUAACCCUUGGAUGAAAAAUUAUAAGGUCAGGAUGAUAUUAGUCGGUUAGAGUUGAGUGGUCCUCCUAGGGUUGAGUGGUCCCCACUGGUUAUAGUAUUUAAUCCAAUGGUUAGAAAUAAUGAAAAGAGUUGAUCCAAAGGCUAAAAAAUUGGUAGCAACAAUAGGAUUUUGCUACUAAUAGUAGCCCAGUCCAACUCUCUCUCUCUCUCCCUCCCCCCCUCUCUCUCUCUCUCUCUCUCUCUCUCUCUCUCUCUCUCUUAUAUAUAUAUAUAUAUAUAUAUAUAUAUAUAUAUAGGGCUACUAUACUUUUAUGAAUAUAGACACCUUUGUACUCAUAAAUUUUUAAUCGUUGAUUGAUGGGAUGUGUGGUUAGGAUGAUAGUGGUCCCCACUUAAAAUGAUAGCGGUCCCCUAGGGUUGAGUGGGUAAUUGGUUGAAUAGUAUGAUCUAACGGGUGAAAAUGAUCAAUGGAUAAAUCUAAGAGCCGAAAACUUAUGAGUAUAAGAAAACCAAUACUCAUAAAAGUAUAGUAGCCGGAC
RNAcentral lists this long non-coding RNA (1006 nucleotides) under Ananas comosus (pineapple). RNAcentral describes it as "long non-coding RNA (ACOM_LNC032683)". Lineage: Eukaryota; Viridiplantae; Streptophyta; Magnoliopsida; Poales; Bromeliaceae. The record is from RNAcentral.